RNAcentral lists this ribosomal RNA (254 nucleotides) under uncultured bacterium. RNAcentral's name for it is "partial 16S ribosomal RNA". It matches the Rfam family "Bacterial small subunit ribosomal RNA", at positions 524 to 776 of the family's 1533-position model. The record is from RNAcentral.
UACGAAGGUCCCGAGCGUUGUUCGGAAUCACUGGGCGUAAAGGGAGCGUAGGCGGCGUGGCAAGUCAGACGUGAAAUCCCGGGGCUCAACCCCGGAACUGCGUCCGAUACUGCCAUGCUUAGAGGGUUGGAGAGGUAGCUGGAAUUCUUGGUGUAGCAGUGAAAUGCGUGGAUAUCAAGAGGAACACUCGUGGCGAAAGCGAGCUACUGGACAACACCUGACGCUGAGGCUCGAAGGCCAGGGGAGCGAAAGGG